GGCUGCGUAGUUCAGUGGUUAGAAUAACCGUUUCAUACGCGGUAUGUCACUCGUUCGAAUCGAGUCGCAGCCA
RNAcentral lists this transfer RNA (73 nucleotides) under Dinophyceae sp. MGD. RNAcentral describes it as "tRNA-Met". It matches the Rfam family "tRNA". Rfam says of the family: Transfer RNA (tRNA) molecules are approximately 80 nucleotides in length. Their secondary structure includes four short double-helical elements and three loops (D, anti-codon, and T loops). The record is from RNAcentral. Lineage: Eukaryota; Dinophyceae.